GUGGGGAAUAUUGGACAAUGGGCGAAAGCCUGAUCCAGCCAUGCCGCGUGUGUGAAGAAGGUCUUCGGAUUGUAAAGCACUUUAAGUUGGGAGGAAGGGUAGUAACCUAAUACGUUGCUACUUUGACGUUACCGACAGAAUAAGCACCGGCUAACUUCGUGCCAGCAGCCGCGGUAAUACGAAGGGUGCAAGCGUUAAUCGGAAUUACUGGGCGUAAAGCGCGCGUAGGUGGUUCAGUAAGUUGGAAGUGAAAUCCCCGGGCUCAACCUGGGAACUGCCUCCAAAACUGCAUGACUAGAGUACUGUAGAGGGUAGUGGAAUUUCCUGUGUAGCGGUGAAAUGCGUAGAUAUAGGAAGGAACACCAGUGGCGAAGGCGACUACCUGGACUGAUACUGACACUGAGGUGCGAAAGCGUGGGGAGCAAACAGGAUUAGAUACCCCUGUAGUCC
This 450-nucleotide ribosomal RNA is filed under the name uncultured bacterium. RNAcentral's name for it is "partial 16S ribosomal RNA". It matches the Rfam family "Bacterial small subunit ribosomal RNA", at positions 354 to 796 of the family's 1533-position model. The record is from RNAcentral.